GGCCUGUCACCUCAUCACCAACACCAACCAGCCUUGUUAAACGCAAUGCAGACUGCACAGCUCCAACACCAGACUCUGCAGAACACAGUGUGGGAGCCACACUACAGAGACUGGGCACAGGGAAAUGGAGAGAAAUCAGCAGCUGACGUGGUUUCUGAGACUCUACAAAUAGAAGCAAUAAUAGGAUGGAUCAAAACAUUGAGCUUUGGGAAUAGACCAUGAACCACAAAGGACGGAGACGAUGCAGUCGCUGGCCACACACGUUCACCCCGUUAUGGUGGGAUUAUAACUUUUAAUAAAACAGCUCCUCCUAAAAGCUUGACAAAAGCCGUGUUCCCAAUGGGAUAACAGUGUGUAGAUCUGGUCAUGGGGCCCUCUAGUGCAAGUUCAAUACUAAAUUGUCUUUCCUCAUGGAUCCUGACCUCUGACCUUCUGGAGCUAUUUCCCAUGGCUCUCUCUGUCUGGACUCCACUCGCUGCCUUUUGCAUUCCAUGUGUCACCAGUGCUCUCAGUCAAACAUGAGGCACCCGAGACUCCACACCUGUUGUUUUGAGCAAGCGACAGAAUGUCCCUCAGUGUUGCAACGGGGAACUGUUACUGUAUGUAUUUAUGAAGUUUCCAUUUGUAAUGAGAGUAAGAAUACAAACCACUUAAAAGUGUUCCAUGCUAUUCAUAGCUUUGUCACUUGUUGCAUUUACAACUGCUGCCAAGGGUGAAAGGACAAUUUUUGGCCUUGAUUCACAUCAACAAGUGCAAGUGUUUUUCUUUUGUGUACAUUUAUUACAAGAACUAUUUAUGUACAGUCUUGAGGUACUUGUAUUUGACUUGAGUAUUUCCAUCCAUCCUUAAUACUUCAACUACUCCACUACAUUUCAGAGGCAAAUGUUAUUGUACUAUUUAUUCUAUUGCAUUUAUUUGACAACUAGUGAAAGUACUUGAUAUUCAAAUUA
Molecule: long non-coding RNA, 950 nt
Organism: Micropterus dolomieu (smallmouth bass)
Lineage: Eukaryota; Metazoa; Chordata; Actinopteri; Centrarchiformes; Centrarchidae
Exons: 3
Source: RefSeq, a predicted model, not a curated record